CAUAUUUGCUGGAAUGCUUUAUGCGUCAAAAGGAUUCGUCUGCCCAAGGAUGGGUCUGCGGCCUAUCAGGUAGUAGUGGGUGUAAUGUACCUACUAGCCAGCGACGGGUACGGGUUGUGAGAGCAAGAGCCCGGAGAUGGAUUCUGAGACAUGAAUCCAGGCCCUACGGGGCGCAGCAGGCGCGAAAACUUUACAAUGCGGGAAACCGUGAUAAGGGGACACCGAGUGCCAGCAUCAUAUGCUGGCUGUCCGGAUGUGUAAAAUACAUCCGUUAGCAAGGGCCGGGCAAGACCGGUGCCAGCCGCCGCGGUAACACCGGCGGCCCGAGUGGUGAUCGUGAUUAUUGGGUCUAAAGGGUCCGUAGCCGGUUUGGUCAGUCCUCCGGGAAAUCUGAUAGCUCAACUAUUAGGCUUUCGGGGGAUACUGCCAGACUUGGAACCGGGAGAGGUAAGAGGUACUACAGGGGUAGGAGUGAAAUCUUGUAAUCCCUGUGGGACCACCUGUGGCGAAGGCGUCUUACCAGAACGGGUUCGACGGUGAGGGACGAAAGCUGGGGGCACGAACCGGAUUAGAUACCCGGGUAGUCCCAGCCGUAAACGAUGCUCGCUAGGUGUCAGGCAUGGCGCGACCGUGUCUGGUGCCGCAGGGAAGCCGUGAAGCGAGCCACCUGGGAAGUACGGCCGCAAGGCUGAAACUUAAAGGAAUUGGCGGGGGAGCACAACAACGGGUGGAGCCUGCGGUUUAAUUGGACUCAACGCCGGACAACUCACCGGGGGCGACAGCAAUAUGUAGGCCAAGCUGAAGACUUUGCCUGAAUCGCUGAGAGGAGGUGCAUGGCCGUCGCCAGUUCGUACUGUGAAGCAUCCUGUUAAGUCAGGCAACGAGCGAGACCCGUGCCCACUGUUACCAGCAUGUCCUCCGGGACGAUGGGUACUCUGUG
Molecule: ribosomal RNA, 940 nt
Filed under: Methanosarcina mazei
Lineage: Archaea; Methanobacteriati; Methanobacteriota; Methanomicrobia; Methanosarcinales; Methanosarcinaceae
Description: bacterial SSU rRNA
Rfam family: Archaeal small subunit ribosomal RNA
Source: RNAcentral